RNAcentral lists this transfer RNA (82 nucleotides) under Deltaproteobacteria bacterium. Its description in RNAcentral is "tRNA-Leu". It matches the Rfam family "tRNA". From Rfam's summary of the family: Transfer RNA (tRNA) molecules are approximately 80 nucleotides in length. Their secondary structure includes four short double-helical elements and three loops (D, anti-codon, and T loops). Lineage: Bacteria; Pseudomonadati; Myxococcota; Myxococcia. The record is from RNAcentral. RNAcentral also lists the same sequence under 1 other name.
GCCGGGGUUGGAGAGCGGUCAAAUCCGGGGGACUCAAGAUCCUCUCCCCAGCGGUUCGCAGGUUCAAAUCCUGCCCCCGGCA